AAGCAACGCGCAGAACCUUACCAACCCUUGACAUCUGGAUCGCGGUUACCGGAGACGGUUCCUUCAGUUCGGCUGGAUCCAAGACAGGUGUUGCAUGGCUGUCGUCAGCUCGUGUCGUGAGAUGUUCGGGUUAAGUCCCGCAACGAGCGCAACCCUCGCCUUAGUUGCCAUCAUUAAGUUGGGCACUCUAGAGGGACUGCCGGUGAUAAGCCGGAGGAAGGUGGGGAUGACGUCAAGUCCUCAUGGCCCUUACGGGUUGGGCUACACACGUGCUACAAUGGCGGCGACAAUGGGCAGCGAAGGGGCGACCCGGUGCCAAAUCCCAAAAAGCCGUCUCAGUUCGGAUUGUACUCUGCAACUCGAGUGCAUGAAGGUGGAAUCGCUAGUAAUCGCGUAACAGCAUGACGCGGUGAAUACGUUCCCGGGCCUU
RNAcentral lists this ribosomal RNA (430 nucleotides) under uncultured Parvibaculum sp. RNAcentral describes it as "bacterial SSU rRNA". It matches the Rfam family "Bacterial small subunit ribosomal RNA", at positions 954 to 1382 of the family's 1533-position model. Lineage: Bacteria; Pseudomonadati; Pseudomonadota; Alphaproteobacteria; Hyphomicrobiales; Parvibaculaceae. The record is from RNAcentral.